RNAcentral lists this ribosomal RNA (468 nucleotides) under uncultured bacterium. Its description in RNAcentral is "partial 16S ribosomal RNA". It matches the Rfam family "Bacterial small subunit ribosomal RNA", at positions 28 to 507 of the family's 1533-position model. The record is from RNAcentral.
GACGAACGCUGGCGGCGUGCUUAACACAUGCAAGUCGAACGGAAAGGCCCUGCUUUUGUGGGGUGCUCGAGUGGCGAACGGGUGAGUAACACGUGAGUAACCUGCCCGUGACUUUGGGAUAACUUCAGGAAACUGGGGCUAAUACCGGAUAGGAGCUGCUGCUGCAUGGUGGGGGUUGGAAAGUUUCGGCGGUUGGGGAUGGACUCGCGGCUUAUCAGCUUGUUGGUGGGGUAGUGGCUUACCAAGGCCUGGACGGGUAGCCGGCCUGGGAGGGUGACCGGCCACAGUGGGCCUGGGGUGCGGGCCAGACUCCUACGGGAGGCAGCGGUGGGGAAUAUUGCACAAUGGGCGGCAGCCUGAUGGAGCAACGCCGCGUGCGGGAUGACGGCCUUCGGGUUGUAAACCGCUUUCGCCUGUGACGAAGCGUGAGUGACGGUAAUGGGUAAAGAAGCACCGGCUAACUACGUG